Molecule: ribosomal RNA, 617 nt
Filed under: uncultured Alphaproteobacteria bacterium
Lineage: Bacteria; Pseudomonadati; Pseudomonadota; Alphaproteobacteria
Description: bacterial SSU rRNA
Rfam family: Bacterial small subunit ribosomal RNA
Source: RNAcentral
AGCGAACGCUGGCGGCAGGCCUAACACAUGCAAGUCGAACGAAGCCUUCGGGCUUAGUGGCGGACGGGUGAGUAACGCGUGGGAGCGUGCCCUUUGGUUCGGAAUAGCCCCGGGAAACUGGGAGUAAUACCGGAUAAGCCCUACGGGGGAAAGAUUUAUCGCCAAAGGAUCGGCCCGCGUUGGAUUAGGUAGUUGGUGGGGUAAUGGCCUACCAAGCCGACGAUCCAUAGCUGGUUUGAGAGGAUGAUCAGCCACACUGGGACUGAGACACGGCCCAGACUCCUACGGGAGGCAGCAGUGGGGAAUCUUAGACAAUGGGGGAAACCCUGAUCUAGCCAUGCCGCGUGAUCGAUGAAGGCCUUAGGGUUGUAAAGAUCUUUCAGCUGGGAAGAUAAUGACUGUACCAGCAGAAGAAGCCCCGGCUAACUCCGUGCCAGCAGCCGCGGUAAUACGGAGGGGGCUAGCGUUGUUCGGAAUUACUGGGCGUAAAGCGCGCGUAGGCGGCUUUGUCAGUCAAGGGUGAAAUCCCGGGGCUUAACCUCGGAACUGCCUUUGAUACUGCAAGGCUUGAGUCUGUGAGAGGAUGGUGGAAUACCCAGUGUAGAGGUGAAAUUCGU